AGUCCCGUAUGCGAAAACAAAUGCGUGGUACUGAGCUAACGACAAGUAGGGCGGGACACGAGAAAUCCUGUCUGAAUAUGGGGGGACCAUCCUCCAAGGCUAAAUACUCAUCAUUGACCGAUAGUGAACAAGUACCGUGAGGGAAAGGCGAAAAGAACCCCGGGAGGGGAGUGAAAUAGAUCCUGAAACCGCAUGCUUACAAAAAGUAGGAGCCUCGAAAGGGGUGACUGCGUACCUUUUGUAUAAUGGGUCAGCGACUUACAUUCAGUGGCAAGGUUAACCGAAUAGGGAAGCCGUAGAGAAAUCGAGUCCGAAUAGGGCGAUCAGUCGCUGGGUGUAGACCCGAAACCAAGUGAUCUAUCCAUGGGCAGGAUGAAGGUGCCGUAACAGGUACUGGAGGUCCGAACCGACUAAUGUUGCAAAAUUAGCGGAUGACCUGUGGAUAGGGGUGAAAGGCUAAACAAACUUGGAAAUAGCUGGUUCUCUCCGAAAACUAUUUAGGUAGUGCCUCAAGUAUUACCAUCGGGGGUAGAGCACUGUUUUGGCUAGGGGGUCAUGGCGACUUACCAAACCAAGGCAAACUCCGAAUACCGAUGAGUACAGCUUGGGAGACAGAGCACCGGGUGCUAACGUCCGGACUCAAGAGGGAAACAACCCAGACCGCCAGCUAAGGUCCCUAAAAUUGGCUAAGUGGGAAACGAAGUGGGAAGGCUAAAACAGUCAGGAUGUUGGCUUAGAAGCAGCCAUCAUUUAAAGAAAGCGUAAUAGCUCACUGAUCGAGUCGUCCUGCGCGGAAGAUGUAACGGGGCUAAGCCAGUUACCGAAGCUGCGGAUUUGCAAUUUAUUGCAAGUGGUAGGAGAGCGUUCUGUAGGCCUGUGAAGGUGGUGGUGUAAACCCUGCUGGAGGUAUCAGAAGUGCGAAUGCUGACAUGAGUAGCGUUAAAGGGGGUGAAAAGCCCCCUCGCCGUAAGCGCAAGGUUUUCUACGCAACGUUCAUCGGCGUAGAGUGAGUCGGCCCCUAAGGCGAGGCAGAGAUGCGUAGCUGAUGGGAAACAGGUCAAUAUUCCUGUACCGAUUACAAGUGCGAUGUGGGGACGGAGAAGGUUAGCUCAGCCAACUGUUGGAUAUGUUGGUUCAAGCCUGUAGUCAUGCCUGGUAGGCAAAUCCGCCGGGCUAAGAUGAGGGGUGAUAAGGAGUCUGCUUGCAGACGAACUGAGUGAUACCCUGCUUCCAGGAAAAGCCACUAAGCUUCAGCUUGUAAUUGACCGUACCGCAAACCGACACUGGUGCGCGAGAUGAGUAUUCUAAGGCGCUUGAGAGAACUCAGGAGAAGGAACUCGGCAAAUUGAUACCGUAACUUCGGGAGAAGGUAUGCCCCUAUUAGGUGAACUUGAACAAAGGGAGCCGAACGGGGUUGCAAAAAAUCGGUGGCUGCGACUGUUUAAUAAAAACACAGCACUCUGCAAACACGAAAGUGGACGUAUACGGUGUGACGCCUGCCCGGUGCCGGAAGGUUAAUUGAUGGGGUGCAAGCUCUUGAUCGAAGCCCCGGUAAACGGCGGCCGUAACAAUAACGGUCCUAAGGUAGCGAAAUUCCUUGUCGGGUAAGUUCCGACCUGCACGAAUGGCGUAAUGAUGGCCAGGCUGUCUCCACCCGAGACUCAGUGAAAUUGAACUCGCUGUGAAGAUGCAGUGUACCCGCGGCAAGACGGAAAGACCCCGUGAACCUUUACUAUAGCUUGACACUGAACAUUGAGCCUUGAUGUGUAGGAUAGGUGGGAGGCUUUGAAGUGUGGACGCCAGUCUGCAUGGAGCCGACCUUGAAAUACCACCCUUUAAUGUUUGAUGUUCUAACGUUGACCCGUAAUCCGGGUUGCGGACAGUGUCUGGUGGGUAGUUUGACUGGGGCGGUCUCCUCCUAAAGAGUAACGGAGGAGCACGAAGGUUGGCUAAUCCUGGUCGGACAUCAGGAGGUUAGUGCAAUGGCAUAAGCCAGCUUGACUGCGAGCGUGACGGCGCGAGCAGGUGCGAAAGCAGGUCAUAGUGAUCCGGUGGUUCUGAAUGGAAGGGCCAUCGCUCAACGGAUAAAAGGUACUCCGGGGAUAACAGGCUGAUACCGCCCAAGAGUUCAUAUCGACGGCGGUGUUUGGCACCUCGAUGUCGGCUCAUCUCAUCCUGGGGCUGUAGCCGGUCCCAAGGGUAUGGCUGUUCGCCAUUUAAAGAGGUACGUGAGCUGGGUUUAAAACGUCGUGAGACAGUUUGGUCCCUAUCUGCCAUGGGCGUUGGAGAUUUGACGGGGGCUACUCCUAGUACGAGAGGACCAGAGUGGACGUACCGCUGGUGUACCUGUUGUUUCGCCAGAAGCAUCGCAGGGUAGCUAUGUACGGAAGAGAUAACCGCUGAAAGCAUCUAAGCGGGAAACUUGCCUGAAGAUGAGAUCUCCCGUAGGUUUAACCUACAUAAAGGGUCGUUGA
This 2474-nucleotide ribosomal RNA is filed under the name Pinctada margaritifera. RNAcentral describes it as "bacterial LSU rRNA". It matches the Rfam family "Bacterial large subunit ribosomal RNA", at positions 369 to 2841 of the family's 2925-position model. The record is from RNAcentral. Lineage: Eukaryota; Metazoa; Mollusca; Bivalvia; Pterioida; Pteriidae.